UACGUAGGGUCCAAGCGUUAAUCGGAAUUACUGGGCGUAAAGCGUGCGCAGGCGGCUUUGCAAGUCAGACGUGAAAUCCCCGGGCUUAACCUGGGAAUGGCGUUUGAAACUACGGAGCUGGAGUGUGGCAGAGGGAGGGUAGAAUUCCACGUGUAGCGGUGAAAAUGCGUAGAUAUGUGGAGGAAUACCGAUGGCGAAGGCAGCCUCCUGGGCCAACACUGACGCUCAUGCACGAAAGCGUGGGGAGCAAACAGG
This 255-nucleotide ribosomal RNA is filed under the name uncultured bacterium. Its description in RNAcentral is "partial 16S ribosomal RNA". It matches the Rfam family "Bacterial small subunit ribosomal RNA", at positions 524 to 776 of the family's 1533-position model. The record is from RNAcentral.